This is a non-coding RNA of Salmo salar (Atlantic salmon), 3781 nucleotides long. Lineage: Eukaryota; Metazoa; Chordata; Actinopteri; Salmoniformes; Salmonidae. The record is from RefSeq and is a predicted model, not a curated record.
UAUCAGAUGGAAACAGCACUCUCUGCACCUCUCCUCCCCCGUGCCGUGGUCGCAGGAAGUGUAUAGUGAGCUUGUCAACCAUUCUGUCAGAGGCAAGGAUAUUGGGGACGCCAAGAACCUCCACGACUAUACCCUCCAUUGUGAAGUUCUGUCAACACUUGAGAACGAGAUGAGCAACGUGACCGAAGUUGAAACCACAUCAUGCAAGUAAUGGAGACUAUAAAGGCCAUGUAAGGUUUAGGCUACCUAUAACCACGGUGGAGACACAACAGAGCCUCAAACCAUCCCAGUUCUCUCUAGCAGACACUACUGGAAAGGACAGAGCCACGACAGGCCAAGCCUCGCUGAAUGGUCUGCAUAUUGAAACAUUAACUCAUUUACGGUUUCCUGUCGGCUCACAUGUGUGCAUGUGCAGCAAACUAAAGAUUUGCGUGACACUUUCCCCACUAGGGGACAGCCGAGGACUGCUCAAGGUGUCUGUUUGGUCGCAAUCUACAGUGUUACCGUUUCAGCAACACAGUCCAUCCAGAACAAUCUCACUGGCUGUGUAGCAUACAAUCCCAUGGAAUCGAUCCACUGUAGACACCUCCCCCCUCUUCCCUGGCACCACCACCAGGUUUCACAAGGAAGAAUGGCUAGGCCUGGCCCCAGUUUGUGUAACAAUAACCACUUCGGGGUGAAGUUUCCCCUAGGCAUAGAUCUAGGAUCAGCUUCCACUCCCCCAAUCUUAACCAUUAGUAGGGGAAAUGUAAAACUGACCCAAGAUCAGCAUCUAGGGGCAACUACACCCUGUUUGUGCCAUUGACAUGACAAUGACCAAUUGAUCUAGGACCAUGCUGAAGUCAAAGUCAAUGAGAGGGCUCCAAACCAUGCCUCAAUGGCCUGACUGGCCUCAAUGGAAAAACUUCAGAGAAGAUUUAAUGGAGAAAAAAACAAUUGUCUCAUUGUGAACUCUUAAUCAGCGUUGUAAGCUGUCGGAAAUGGAAGGAUGACAAACGCAUACAACACCAGAUGUCUGAAGUUCUCUCCAUUGGGAGGGAAGCUAGCUAUUAUUAGCCAGACACACUUGAGUCAGGGCUAAGGAAACAGCAUAUCUGCAGACGGUAAUGUCCAGGUCACCCUCUCUCUCACACUGUACUGUUCCGAGCCUGACGGGAACAGGCUUAUCAUAAAAAUACAAGUCCCGACUUCCCAAAGAUUCUCUUCCAUUAUGAACACACACAUUGGACCCGAGAUAAUCUAAAAUACAGAGGCCAUCAAUCAGGUCCGUCUGUCAAUCAUUGAGGAGGAAAAUGUCAGCACCCAUUUUCAAUUAAAUCAAUUUACGAGGAUCAUAGACCAAGGCAGGUGUCUUUGCAUGGCAUAUUCCAUAUGGCCUAAAGAGACCUCUUGUUGUCGAAGUGUGACUUAGUAAAAAAAGAUUUUACCAAAUGUUUACAUUCUGGCAUAAAGAGCAUGUUCAACUUCAUUAAAAACUUGUUUUCCCAUCUCAAGAGGUUAAAUAAAUAACAAAUACUAUAAUAAGUGCCAAAUAAAGUGACAGGGUUGACCAUAACAGGGUUAACUGUAACAGUGUUGACGAUAUUAUGAUGGAUUUCCUAUUCAACAAAACUGUAUGAACAAGGCUUGAAAUGAUUUAUAUUUUCUCUAAAUAUAUUAGAAUCAAUUUAGAAAAUGUCUAACUAUAAGAUUUCACCUUAUAACUGUUAAAUAUAUGCCUGUAUAUUUACUGUUAGAGAAAAUGUGCAUGUUUUCUAAAGGUCUUUCUUGAUCAUAAAGUCUGCCCCCAUCGCUUUGAAUGUCUCAAAGAGCUCUAGCUAGGCUUCCUGAACUUGUUAGGAACUCACCUUUCAUCACAUAUGAAUAUUUUUUUUUACAUCUAUGACAAACAGAAAGUGUUUUUUGUUUAAAAUCUAUGAAUUAGUUUAGAUUACUGGCUAUAAAUCGAUCUCUGAAUGUGCUACAGAGACAAAACCACUCUCCUGCUGCGUUACGAUGUAAGGCAUAUGCGUUGUUAGUGACUGUGACGUAUGGUUCAGUCAGGAGUGGAUGGACAGUCGGAAAAACAAAUGAAAUGGUAGGACAUCCCAUCUUCAAGUGGUGUCAGAUUUCACAUCCUGCUUCACACAGGCAAAAUAGAAUCAGGGCUAUCGCUCAAUGCAAGCCAUUGCGAUCUACGGUGUCCACAGAUGGAUUUAUAAGAGAAAAUGUUGUUUGGGACCGGUACCAGAAACACGCAGGUCUCCUAAACAAGGGACUUAACAUCGAAGAGAUUUUAAAUCAGCCAUUACUCUCCUUGUGACAGGGGCAUUUGAAUGCAAGCUUUUUAAAUUUUAAUUAUUGUUAAAACAUUUCUAGUCUGACUAUCUAUGGGUGACAGGGUUGAUGUGUUAUGCUCGACCCGCUCAGUUUUCCACCACAAAACACCAGAAAAUGCCCAAAAAGUGUAAAACCAGCUAACAUGCUUUUACACUAUGAUUUUACUCUUAGGUGUUCAAUGUUUAUUUAGAAAAAAUAUUUAAAAAAGGAUAGUUUCACCAUAUUAAAACGAGAGUUCAGUUCAUGCGACAGGGUUUACCUUAAAAUGAGGGCCUGGCGUAAAUGAAUCACUAAUCACAGGAAAUAAAAGAUAAUCUACAGAAAUUACUUUUUUUGCCGUUUUAAGCAACCAAAUGAUUAGGGCUUUACAAUGAUGGUGGGUUAAAAUGUUCCUAGAAGUCAGAUAUGGUACACAGAGGGAUGUCAAAAUGCUGAAUUUUGGCACUAAAGAAAGUCUUUAUUCAUAUUAAAAAUCUGAUUUAUUGAAUUCUCCAUCUGAUCUGUAUUAAAGGGCACUUCAUUUAAUAUAACAGGCUUUUAAAAUGCAAUAUUGAUGCACAAUUUCUACCUAAAAUAUCAUAAAGGACGCAAAAGGCACUCAUUUUGUGGAAUGACCCUGUUAUUCACUCUUUUUAUUUCCCUGAGCCUUUCUGCUCUGCCGUACUGUAACCAUUUUAAGCUCUUCUGCACUCUGGAUUCAGAACAGAGUUUAUAAUCCAUAAAAACAGAACAUGAUUUAUGUUUUGGCCUGUUGUUUGUGUUGUGUUCUGCGAAAGAUAACUGUCAUUGUUACAUCCCAAAUGGCACCCAUUUCCCUAUAUAGUGCAAUACUUUUGACCAUAGCUAUGGGCCCUGGUCAAAAGUUGUGCACUAAAUAGGGAAUAGUGUGCCAUUUGGGAUGCUACCAUACUGUCAUAACUGUUCCUGCAGCUCCAACCUCCUGCUUCCAGCUGUUGUUGCAGCAUGGGAAGGGGCGGUGUCCUGUACGGCUCGGCCCUUUGGGACAGAGUGUCCCUCUCCCAUCUCUGCCUGCCUCCUUCCUGUCUGGAGCACUAGACUAUGCCCUUAUAUGACACACUCUCACCCAGCAAAUAAACCUUCCACCUCACGCCUCAAAUCCUCCAUGAUCUCUCCAUUUAUCCAUCCAUCCCAUCACUCCAUCCAUCCACUUCAUUCAUCCAUUCAUUCAUUAACUGAGCUUAAUCUAUGUCUACUAUCUUCCUCUCUCCUUCUCUCCCCAAAUCGACCUCCAUCCUGUCCAAUUCCCUUCCUGUAUCCGCCCUACAUUUGCAAUCGUAUCCUGUCUGUGUGGGAGAUUGAGAGUUUUUCUUUUUUAAUGAUGUAAUGGUGUAUAAACGCUGGGUAAUCUCAUUUUUCUCAGAGGGCCUAAUCCCAACCAACCAAAGUCCACUCAGUCCCAGCUGUUGAGAGAGAAGUACUGCCCUGUCCCUUAGGAGGAAAA